UUGGAGGGCAAGUCUGGUGCCAGCAGCCGCGGUAAUUCCAGCUCCAAUAGCGUAUAUUAAAGUUGUUGCAGUUAAAAAGCUCGUAGUUGAAUUUCAGGAUCAAUAUGCCGGUCAUGCCUUGGUAUGCACUGGUAUCUUUGAUUUCUCCCUUCUGACGAACUUUGAUGUCAUUAAUUUGGUGUCAUAGGGAAUCGGGACUGUUACUUUGAAAAAAUUAGAGUGUUUAGAGCAGGCUCACGCUUGAAUACAUUAGCAUGGAAUAAUGAAAUAGGACGUUUGAUUCUAUUUUGUUGGUUUCUAGGAUCGACGUAAUGAUUAAUAGGGAUAGUUGGGGGCAUUAGUAUUCAAUUGUCAGAGGUGAAAUUCUUGGAUUUAUUGAAGACUAACUACUGCGAAAGCAUUUGCCAAGGAUGUUUUCAUUAAUCAAGAACGAAAGUUAGGGGAUCGAAGACGAUCAGAUACCGUCGUAGUCUUAACCAUAAACUAUGCCGACUAGGGAUCGGAUGAUGUUAAUUUUUUAAUGACUCAUUCGGCGCCUUACGGGAAAC
Molecule: ribosomal RNA, 548 nt
Filed under: uncultured Glomus
Lineage: Eukaryota; Fungi; Glomeromycota; Glomeromycetes; Glomerales; Glomeraceae
Description: SSU rRNA
Rfam family: Eukaryotic small subunit ribosomal RNA
Source: RNAcentral